GUGUGUCGCCUCCCGAUCGGAACGCUACCCGCUGAGUUUAAGCAU
This 45-nucleotide ribosomal RNA is filed under the name Iris ensata. RNAcentral's name for it is "partial 28S ribosomal RNA". The record is from RNAcentral. RNAcentral also lists the same sequence under 2 other names. Lineage: Eukaryota; Viridiplantae; Streptophyta; Magnoliopsida; Asparagales; Iridaceae.